UACGUAGGGCGCAAGCGUUGUCCGGAAUUAUUGGGCGUAAAGAGCUCGUAGGCGGUUUGUCGCGUCUGCCGUGAAAGUCCGGGGCUCAACUCCGGAUCUGCGGUGGGUACGGGCAGACUAGAGUGCAGUAGGGGAGACUGGAAUUCCUGGUGUAGCGGUGAAAUGCGCAGAUAUCAGGAGGAACACCGGUGGCGAAGGCGGUUCUCUGGGCAUGUCCUGACGCUGAGGAGCGAAAGCGUGGGGAGCGAACAGG
This 253-nucleotide ribosomal RNA is filed under the name uncultured bacterium. RNAcentral describes it as "partial 16S ribosomal RNA". It matches the Rfam family "Bacterial small subunit ribosomal RNA", at positions 524 to 776 of the family's 1533-position model. The record is from RNAcentral.